GGCCACCCAAAAUGUAAGUCACUUUGGAUAAGAGUGUCUGCUAAAUGGCAACAC
Molecule: non-coding RNA, 54 nt
Organism: Salmo salar (Atlantic salmon)
Lineage: Eukaryota; Metazoa; Chordata; Actinopteri; Salmoniformes; Salmonidae
Source: Rfam